AGCUUCUACACACAAAGAAUUUGAGCUCCCUUGAUAAACUCCCAGGUCCUCUCAAAAAGAAUGGAAGUGGAAGAAAACUAAGAAGAUUGAGAGGCUGUGUUGAACUACAUAGUAAAGAGUUGAGAGAGAAAGUGAGCCAGCAGCUCAGCCUGCCCAGGUUGGGUGGAGCAUCUGGGGGAAAAUGAAGUGAGAUUGUGGAUGUAUGGGCAGUUUGAAAUGGAUAAACCUGGCCUUCCAGAUAAACUUCAGGGAGCCUGACAGACAGGAUAUCUUUAUCUGAAGUAAAGGAACAUGUUGGAAAUUUUUCUGAGAUUUAUGGCAAUUCAAAAGAAAUCACAAACGAUGUAGCCUAGAGAUAUUUAAAAAAUAAGAAAAAGACACUUCAGGAGGCGAAGGAGCAAGCUGAUAUCUGAGAUGUAAAAAUAAAUAUAUUCCCAGUCUUCCAGACUACCCAGCAGUUGGUGGUCAGUUUUGAGAAUACUGCUUUCCAGAAGGAGCUAUCAUGAUUUGUCAGAGGACUGGCCAGUGAACAAAGUAUGAUCCAUGACUGAAUCAGGGUACUCUGUCUUCCCACUUGAUUUGUGUUAAAAUUUAACUAGAAAGAUG
Hyaena hyaena (striped hyena) is the source of this 606-nucleotide long non-coding RNA. RefSeq lists it as uncharacterized. The record is from RefSeq and is a predicted model, not a curated record. The transcript is spliced from 4 exons. Lineage: Eukaryota; Metazoa; Chordata; Mammalia; Carnivora; Hyaenidae.